GCUCGCGGGUGGAGCGCGACAGGGGGCGAUACGCGCGGCGGUGUCGGAGGACACGAGCUUCUCGCCAGAGGGUGAGGUCGGCCCGGCGGGGUCGGCGCCGUGACCGGUGACAAGUGACAGGCGAGUGCGAGCCGCGGGACGACGCCAAGGAUCGGCCGGACCGAGUGAGGCUCCAAGGGCAGGCGGCGCAACGAUCGGCUUUACGAACGACAUAGGCGCGACCUUCAGGUUUUCAGGCUCGUUGGCUCACUGCCGAGACGGUCCUGUGCCCGGCGGCUGCACUGACUGUGGACUUCGACCUGUGGACGUCGGCCUGACACCUACCCGGCCCCACUGCGCCCGACGCGUGCCGGACACGCUGAACCCGAGCGUCUGGUCUCGGUGCGAGCCUGCCCGGGCGCGAUCCGACUGAGUGCGCGCUAGGACGCCACUGGUGACGAGCGUCCCAUCCCGGCCGUCGAGUGAAAGGCCUCGGUGUUGGGGCGGACAAAGGAGCGGCCGAGUGGAAGGCGCUCUGUGAACGCCGGGAGCUUUUCAUCAAGUUUCAGAGGGCCAUGUGCUGACGGGCGUCAUGCAGGCGUCGGGGUUCGUACUGUGGGUGCUGCUGCUGCUGCGGGUGGUGGAGCAUGGCGCCGCGCACCGCAUCAAGGUCUACUGGAACGCCACCAA
Pollicipes pollicipes is the source of this 669-nucleotide long non-coding RNA. RefSeq lists it as uncharacterized. The transcript is spliced from 3 exons. The record is from RefSeq and is a predicted model, not a curated record. Lineage: Eukaryota; Metazoa; Arthropoda; Thecostraca; Pollicipedomorpha; Pollicipedidae.